UAAGGAAUAUUGCACAAUGGGGGAAACCCUGAUGCGGCAACGCCGCGUGAGCGACGAAGGCCUUCGGGUUGUAAAACUCUUUUCUGAGGGAUGAGGAAGGACAGUACCUUAGGAAUAAGUCUCGGCUAACUACGUGCCAGCAGCCGCGGUAAAACGUAGGAGGCGAGCGUUAUCCGGAUUUACUGGGCGUAAAGGGCAAGUAGGCGGUGGUUCAAGUUGGGCGUGACAGAUCCUGGCUUAACUGGGAGAGGUCGUUUAAAACUGGAUCACUAGAGGGCAGGAGAGGGGAGCGGAAUUCCUAGUGUAGCGGUGGAAUGCUCAGAUAUUAGGAAGAACACCAGUGGCGAAAGCGGCUUUCUGGCCUGCACCUGACGCUGUAGGGCGAAAGCUAGGGGAGCGAACGG
This 404-nucleotide ribosomal RNA is filed under the name uncultured bacterium. RNAcentral's name for it is "bacterial SSU rRNA". It matches the Rfam family "Bacterial small subunit ribosomal RNA", at positions 355 to 775 of the family's 1533-position model. The record is from RNAcentral.